GCCGAAGUGGCGGAACUGGCAGACGCAGCGGACUCAAAAUCCGCCGGGGCUCACCCCCCGUGUGGGUUCGACUCCCACCUUCGGCACCA
RNAcentral lists this transfer RNA (89 nucleotides) under Pelotomaculum thermopropionicum SI. RNAcentral's name for it is "tRNA-Leu (CAA) (tRNA-Leu-CAA-1-1)". It matches the Rfam family "tRNA". Rfam says of the family: Transfer RNA (tRNA) molecules are approximately 80 nucleotides in length. Their secondary structure includes four short double-helical elements and three loops (D, anti-codon, and T loops). Further hydrogen bonds mediate the characteristic L-shaped molecular structure. tRNAs have two regions of fundamental functional importance: the anti-codon, which is responsible for specific mRNA codon recognition, and the 3' end, to which the tRNAs corresponding amino acid is attached (by aminoacyl-tRNA synthetases). tRNAs cope with the degeneracy of the genetic code in two manners: having more than one tRNA (with a specific anti-codon) for a particular amino acid; and 'wobble' base-pairing, i.e. permitting non-standard base-pairing at the 3rd anti-codon position. The record is from RNAcentral. Lineage: Bacteria; Bacillati; Bacillota; Clostridia; Eubacteriales; Desulfotomaculaceae. RNAcentral also lists the same sequence under 4 other names.